AUGGAGGGCGAUAAGAGAAGAACCAAAGAAGAUACUUGGAAAUCAGAAGAACUUAGGAAACAUCUUCCGGCAACACAACCAAAGAGUCAAAAUGAAGACAAAAAGCACAGAGAAAAGAAACUGCAGAAAGAGAAGGUUGUUCAUGACACAGGCACUCAUAAAGAUGAACGCAAAGACAGAGGGAAGAGCAAGGAAAGAACAAGAGAGAGACUGAAAUCUGUUGAAAGAGACAGGGAUAAAAUGAAGGAGAGAGAAAGGGGAAAAGAACACCACAAAGAACGAGACAGAGAGAGAUAUCAAGAUAAGCUUCACGGAUCAAGUUUAGAGAAGGAAAGAUACAGUGUACCAAAAGAUAAAGACAGGGAGAGCAAUAAAGAACGUGAUAAAAUGCAUAAAAGACAUGAGAUAAAGAAAACAGAUAUGCAAGAUAAUCUGAAAUCAUUUGAAGGAAAAGAUAAAGAACAUCACAGAAGAAGAGAGAAAAGCAGGCAUCGUCUGGAAGAGGAGAAAACAAGUGGUGAAGAGCGAGAAAGAAGACAUACAGGGAAGAAGGAUAAUAAUACAAAAUCCAGCAUUGACGCAUUAUUAGCAGACAAAGUUGGAGUAAGUGAACGUGGACACAAGUUACAGAAAGAUAAAGAAUUGGAUAAAGAGGAAAAAAGAAGAUACAGGGAAAAAAAAGAACAUUCCAUUAGGCCAGUAAAAGACAGACUUUCAAAAGAGAGAAGUCAUAAAUCUUAUGAAGAAGAAGAGGAAGAAAGACAUAAGUCAAAGAGAUCUAAGGAGGAAUCUUCCCGUGGAGACAGAGGACAACCAGCAGAAGAUAGUAAGAGAGUAAAAAGCGGAGAAAACAAAAAAAAGAAGCUUGAUCUUAAGAGCAGUGAACACAAAACAGAGGAGGGGAAUCAAGGAGAAGAAAUGAGCCAUGAGCGUGUAAGGUAAAUUCAGAGAUUUAAAAUGAAUGUAUACUAUAUGGCAUCUACUAAGAUGCAGUCACCACUAAAACAUUAAGCAUGAAUUCUUGAUCUCAUAAUAUCUAGUGUUUUGCCUCCAGUAUGAUUUAUUUAAAAAUGUGUACGUUUAUAUUCUACUUGUUCUUUUUUCUGCACCAGGGUAGCGGGUGAAAUUUUGCUGUCCUUACAAACUACAGAUAUAUUAAUCUGGGCACUUAGCUCAGGAGUCAAAAAUGCUCUUGUUUUACCACCUGAAAUUCACUGUGCAGUCAUGUAGACAAAUGUAAGGUUUAUGACAAACACUACCAUAUUUUCUUUGUUGCUUUUUCAUGUUUGUCAGUCCAACCACCAGUAUAUAUGAGCACUUUCUUCCUUUGUAAGAACUCAUAAUGGUUCUAUCUUGAAGUCUGAUACUCAGUUUCUGAAAUAAUCAAAGAAAUUGUUAAGCAGCAGAGGCAGUCCUCGAUUUUCUCCCUGAUUGUAUUGUCCUCACAAAUAAACCCUCAGAGUGAAACA
Molecule: long non-coding RNA, 1469 nt
Filed under: Numida meleagris (helmeted guineafowl)
Lineage: Eukaryota; Metazoa; Chordata; Aves; Galliformes; Numididae
Description: lncRNA (ENSNMEG00000007904.1)
Source: RNAcentral